UACGGGGGGGGCAAGCGUUGUUCGGAGUUACUGGGCGUAAAGGGCUCGUAGGCGGCCAACUAAGUCAGACGUGAAAUCCCUCGGCUUAACCGAGGAACUGCGUCUGAUACUGGAUGGCUAGAGAUUGGGAGAGGGAUGCGGAAUUCCAGGUGUAGCGGUGAAAUGCGUAGAUAUCUGGAGGAACACCGGUGGCGAAGGCGGCAGCCUGGACCAACACUGACGCUGAGGAGCGAAAGCCAGGGGAGCAAACGGG
RNAcentral lists this ribosomal RNA (253 nucleotides) under uncultured bacterium. RNAcentral's name for it is "partial 16S ribosomal RNA". It matches the Rfam family "Bacterial small subunit ribosomal RNA", at positions 524 to 776 of the family's 1533-position model. The record is from RNAcentral.